GAUGAACGCUGGCGGCGUGCCUAAUACAUGCAAGUCGAGCGAACAGACGAGGAGCUUGCUCCUCUGACGUUAGCGGCGGACGGGUGAGUAACACGUGGAUAACCUACCUAUAAGACUGGGAUAACUUCGGGAAACCGGAGCUAAUACCGGAUAAUAUAUUGAACCGCAUGGUUCAAUAGUUAAAGACGGUUUUGCUGUCACUUAUAGAUGGAUCCGCGCCGCAUUAGCUAGUUGGUAAGGUAACGGCUUACCAAGGCAACGAUGCGUAGCCGACCUGAGAGGGUGAUCGGCCACACUGGAACUGAGACACGGUCCAGACUCCUACGGGAGGCAGCAGUAGGGAAUCUUCCGCAAUGGGCGAAAGCCUGACGGAGCACCGCCGCGUGAGUGAUGAAGGUCUUCGGAUCGUAAAACUCUGUUAUUAGGGAAGAACAAAUGUGUAAGUACCUAUGCACGUCUUGACGGUACCUAAACAGAAAGCCACGGCUAACUACGUG
This 497-nucleotide ribosomal RNA is filed under the name uncultured bacterium. RNAcentral describes it as "partial 16S ribosomal RNA". It matches the Rfam family "Bacterial small subunit ribosomal RNA", at positions 28 to 507 of the family's 1533-position model. The record is from RNAcentral.